GUGACGGUACCUGUAUAAGAAGCACCGGCUAACUACGUGCCAGCAGCCGCGGUAAUACGUAGGGUGCGAGCGUUGUCCGGAAUUACUGGGCGUAAAGAGCUCGUAGGUGGUUUGUCGCGUCGUCUGUGAAAUUCCGGGGCUUAACUCCGGGCGUGCAGGCGAUACGGGCAUAACUUGAGUGCUGUAGGGGAGACUGGAAUUCCUGGUGUAGCGGUGAAAUGCGCAGAUAUCAGGAGGAACACCGAUGGCGAAGGCAGGUCUCUGGGCAGUUACUGACGCUGAGGAGCGAAAGCAUGGGUAGCGAACAGGAUUAGAUACCCUGGUAGUCCAUGCCGUAAACGGUGGGCGCUAGGUGUAGGGGGCUUCCACGUCUUCUGUGCCGUAGCUAACGCAUUAAGCGCCCCGCCUGGGGAGUACGGCCGCAAGGCUAAAACUCAAAGGAAUUGACGGGGGCCCGCACAAGCGGCGGAGCAUGUGGAUUAAUUCGAUGCAACGCGAAGAACCUUACCUGGGCUUGACAUACACCAGAUCGCUGCAGAGAUGUAGUUUCCCUUGUGGUUGGUGUACAGGUGGUGCAUGGUUGUCGUCAGCUCGUGUCGUGAGAUGUUGGGUUAAGUCCCGCAACGAGCGCAACCCUUGUCUUAUGUUGCCAGCAUUUUGGUUGGGGACUCAUGAGAGACUGCCGGGGUUAACUCGGAGGAAGGUGGGGAUGACGUCAAAUCAUCAUGCCCCUUAUGUCCAGGGCUUCACACAUGCUACAAUGGUCGGUACAACGCGCAGCGACACUGUGAGGUGGAGCGAAUCGCUGAAAGCCGGUCUUAGUUCGGAUUGGGGUCUGCAACUCGACCCCAUGAAGUCGGAGUCGCUAGUAAUCGUAGAUCAGCAAUGCUGCGGUGAAUACGUUCCCGGGCCUUGUACACACCGCCCGUCACGUCAUGAAAGUUGGUAACACCCGAAGCCAGUGGCUCAAACUUGUUAGGGAGCUGUCUAAGGUGGGAUCGGCGAUUGGGACGAAGUCGUAACAAGGUACCCGUACCGGAAGGUGCGGGUGGAUCACCUCCUUUCUAAGGAG
This 1072-nucleotide ribosomal RNA is filed under the name Corynebacterium sp. HMSC05E07. Its description in RNAcentral is "bacterial SSU rRNA". It matches the Rfam family "Bacterial small subunit ribosomal RNA", at positions 469 to 1533 of the family's 1533-position model. The record is from RNAcentral. Lineage: Bacteria; Bacillati; Actinomycetota; Actinomycetes; Mycobacteriales; Corynebacteriaceae.